Centruroides sculpturatus (bark scorpion) is the source of this 768-nucleotide long non-coding RNA. RefSeq lists it as uncharacterized. The transcript has 4 exons. The record is from RefSeq and is a predicted model, not a curated record. Lineage: Eukaryota; Metazoa; Arthropoda; Arachnida; Scorpiones; Buthidae.
UAAUCUCGUACAAUACGAGACUGCGCGAGAUCCGAUCGGCCUCUCCCGUUCGCGUUUCUAUCGGGCCUUCUUACGGACUACGUCACACUGGCCGUGACUGGAACCUAGGUUUUCUCAUCAAAACGUAGAGUGAAAACGAUUAGUUGAAGACAAGAACCUCCGAUUGUGUUUGUGUUAGAAAACGAAGCGCAAGUAGGACCAAGUUGCGGCGCAGUCGUCUACGUCGACGAACGCCUUGUUUGCCUUUGUUUGGAAGAACGCGGCCAGGCUCUCCUGACGAAGUGUCUGGCUGCCGGUGGAUUAACAGUUGUACAAGAUUGAGAAUGCAUUAUGGUCACAGGGAAUUACGAUCCUGACACAAAAAUUCUACCAAAGCAGGAUAUAAUUCCCUAAAGCAAUUAUUACUUAAAGACUUCUUUCAAGGAAUUUGGUAUUCAUUGAAUUUGGCUGAUAUAACUGGCCUUUGAAAUAGGUCCAUCUGAGUGUGCGUGAAAUUUGAAGAGGAGGUUUUCUGAUCAAGACGUGGUCGGCACAUAUGGACAAAAAGAAGCCUGGGAUCAAAAGGCCCCGUAUGGAUAACCCUCCUAUUGGUGCCCGUGGCCCUAUUACAAAUGGCCCCAUGCACACCCGUCCCUUAGUGGCACUACUUGAUGGUAGGGAUUGUUCAGUGGAGAUGCCAAUUUUGAAGGAUGUGGCUACAGUGGCCUUCUGUGAUGCCCAGUCCACCCAAGAGAUACAUGAAAAGGUAAUACAUUUUAUUUUGGUUCC